GGUGAAGCGGUUAACUGUUUGGCUGCCAACCAAAAGGUCAGUGGUUCGAAUCCACC
Molecule: transfer RNA, 56 nt
Filed under: Loxodonta africana (African savanna elephant)
Lineage: Eukaryota; Metazoa; Chordata; Mammalia; Proboscidea; Elephantidae
Source: Rfam by way of RNAcentral